GCCGGGGAAGGUGGCUGCCUUUGGGAAGCGGGAACUUGUAGGAAGAGCCGCGGUGCGGUUCAGAGCGCCUUGGCUGGACUCCGUGCGCCCUGCGCUACCCUAUCGCCUCCCACGGACAGAGACGGCUCCUCUGAUUAAGACAUUUGUUCCAUGCAUCCAAUAAGAGUGUGUUCCUCGGUGGGAUUUUGAUAGUGGCUUGCAUAUCCCAGGAAGGAAUACUGAGGAACUAAAUGAUGGCAUAUGUUUGUUUAGCAGUCAUUGGAGAAUAAUUUCUUUGAAGCUACAUGGUUAUCAAUUUUGUGACAUCUGCCAAAAAGAGCCAAGAAUAAGAGCCACCUUGAUAAGAGUUUUGUCACAUCAUCAAGCUGAAACACCAAGGACUGUCAUUACACCUGGCAGGAAGGUGCCAGCAGCUCAGGGUAUAUUUUGGCCCCUCCUUGGUCUUGACAUCUUGGUACAACCUGAACAUAUGCCACAGUACACAAAGAAAAAUGGAGGCCAAAGUACGUGCUUUUCUACAAUUUUCAGAAAAAAUGUAAAUGAAUUGACAAUCUGAAGUGUUAAUGAAAAUGUAAAAUUUUAUUAAAAGUUUAAAAAUUUGGAGUAAAAAACCCAAAAAGUAUAAUUGUUAUCAAAAAGAGAGGAAAGGAAGAUGGUCUAAGGGAUAUAACUGCAUGUAUGUUUGAGUGUGUAGGAUGGAAAUCUGUAUUACUGAACUGUUGUUGGAUCAUUGAUCGGCAUUGUGUGCAAUCUCAUUGUAUGAAUGUUCACUUUACAUGCUUUAAUUUUAUAAUUUGAACAACUAUUUCAAAGAUGACAAUAUGUAACCUAUUAACUAGUGAUCUUACUGUAUUUUUUCCUUGAAAUUCUGUAUUAUUUGUACUCUUUUACUGCUGUUUUAUUUCCUUUCUUUUUUUUCUCUCUUUAAA
This 929-nucleotide long non-coding RNA is filed under the name Cavia porcellus (domestic guinea pig). RNAcentral's name for it is "lncRNA (ENSCPOG00000032159.1)". Lineage: Eukaryota; Metazoa; Chordata; Mammalia; Rodentia; Caviidae. The record is from RNAcentral.